CUCGGAGAAGCUCCCGUCGCCUGGCAACCAGCGCCGCCCAGUCGCAUCCGGGGCGCUUAGAGGACUUCCGGUGUGGCCUCCGGCCUGGUGCUGGUUGUCGUGCGCCUGCGCGGGCGAUGGGGUUGCUGUGUAGUUGAUGUUAGCGACCUGCCAUCCUUGUCACCCCCAGCGCUCUCCCUUCAUCCCCGCCGCUGUGCUACAACACCACGCUACCAGCAUGCAUCAGGUGUCAGUAUGAGCUAAAGUAUGAAGCCCCUUCCAAAAAAAAAAAAAAAAAAAACGGUCUCAAGAAUUCUGUGUUUUCCCUCUAAUCGCUCCACCCGACCCAGGCUUGAAAGGAAAAGUCGCUUGUUGCAUUUGGUAGGCUGGCACCAUCGGACAAAUAAAAACGCAGUGCAGAUGU
This is a non-coding RNA of Rattus norvegicus (Norway rat), 403 nucleotides long. The record is from RefSeq and is a predicted model, not a curated record. Lineage: Eukaryota; Metazoa; Chordata; Mammalia; Rodentia; Muridae.